AGCAUAUCAAUAAGCGGAGGAAAAGAAACCAACAGGGAUUCCCCUAGUAACGGCGAGUGAAGCGGGAACAGCUCAAAUUUGAAAUCUGGCCCUUGGGUCCGAGUUGUAAUUUGCAGAGGAUGCUUUUGGUGCGGUGCCUUCCGAGUUCCCUGGAACGGGACGCCUUAGAGGGUGAGAGCCCCGUACGGUUGGCCACCAAGCCUGUGUAAAGCUCCUUCGACGAGUCGAGUAGUUUGGGAAUGCUGCUCAAAAUGGGAGGUAUAUUUCUUCUAAAGCUAAAUACUGGCCAGAGACCGAUAGCGCACAAGUAGAGUGAUCGAAAGAUGAAAAGCACUUUGAAAAGAGGGUUAAAUAGCACGUGAAAUUGUUGAAAGGGAAGGAUUUAUGACCAGACUUUUUCUGGGGGGAUCAUCCGGUGUUCUCACCGGUGCACUUCCCCCAGUUGAGGCCAGCAUCGGUUUCUGCCGGGGGAUAAAAGCUUCGGGAAUGUGGCUCCUUCGGGAGUGUUAUAGCCCGUUGCAUAAUACCCUGGCGGGGACCGAGGUUCGCGCAUUGCAAGGAUGCUGGCGUAAUGGUUAUUAAUCACCCGUCUUGAAACACGGACCAAGGAGUCGAACAUUUGUGCGAGUGUUUGGGUGUUAAACCCUCACGCGUAAUGAAAGUGAACGGAGGUGAGAGCCUUUCGGGGUGCAUCAUCGACCGAUCCUGAUGUCUUCGGAUGGAUUUGAGUAAGAGCAUAACUGUUCGGACCCGAAAGAUGGUGAACUAUGCGUGGAUAGGGUGAAGCCAGAGGAAACUCUGGUGGAGGCUCGCAGCGGUUCUGACGUGCAAAUCGAUCGUCAAAUCUGCGCAUGGGGGCGAAAGACUAAUCGAACCAUUGACCAGCGGUCAAAACAAUCACUAGGUGGUUAAGAGGGGGUCCGCGAGGACCAUUUGAAAAACCUA
RNAcentral lists this ribosomal RNA (945 nucleotides) under Apiospora kogelbergensis. RNAcentral's name for it is "eukaryotic LSU rRNA". It matches the Rfam family "Eukaryotic large subunit ribosomal RNA", at positions 37 to 1439 of the family's 3401-position model. The record is from RNAcentral. Lineage: Eukaryota; Fungi; Ascomycota; Sordariomycetes; Amphisphaeriales; Apiosporaceae.